RNAcentral lists this ribosomal RNA (407 nucleotides) under uncultured bacterium. Its description in RNAcentral is "partial 16S ribosomal RNA". It matches the Rfam family "Bacterial small subunit ribosomal RNA", at positions 30 to 526 of the family's 1533-position model. The record is from RNAcentral.
AUUGAACGCUGGCGGCAGGCCUAACACAUGCAAGUCGAGCGGAGCGGCGGACGGGUGAGUAAUGCCUAGGAAUCUGCCUGGUAGUGGGGGAUAACGUCCGGAAACGGGCGCUAAUACCGCAUAAUAUCAGAUGAGCCUAGGUUGGAUUAGCUAGUUGGUGGGGUAAAGGUCUACCAAGGCGACGAUCCGUAACUGGUCGGGGAGGAUGAUAAGUCAAACGGGAACUGAGACACGGUCCGGACUCCUAGGGUAGGCAGCAGGGGGGAAUAUUGGACAAUGGGCGAAAUCCUGAUCCAGCCAGGCCGCGUGUGUGAAGAAGGUCUUCGGAUUGUAAAUCUCUUUAAGUUGGUAGGCGUUACCAACAGAAUAAGCACCGGCUAACUUCGUGCCAGCAGCCGCGGUAAUAC